This 912-nucleotide long non-coding RNA is filed under the name Suricata suricatta (meerkat). Its description in RNAcentral is "lncRNA (ENSSSUG00005015720.1)". The record is from RNAcentral. Lineage: Eukaryota; Metazoa; Chordata; Mammalia; Carnivora; Herpestidae.
AUGAUUCCUGCCAAGCAGGUAUCUGUGCAACUUAUAAAAGCCCGGUGCUCUCAGCGGGGGUCAUGGGCGGAGAAGCUCUUAAAAAAGAGGGAACAUGUCCUGCGAGGCGGCGGGAGGACCAGGGGCCCGUUCGGUCCUUGCCCUGCUGGCCAGCUGUCCUCCCUUUGCCCCCUUCUCCCCACAGACGGCAGCGCUGGUGCUCCUGAGGCCUCCGCGGAUGGAGGGUGGCCUGGCGGGCGCGAGUGCAGACCGGGCCGGUGUGAUGCGUGGACGCCCCAUGGGAGCUGGGGCCUGACACUGACCUCGGAAGACCAAGGACAGAUGGUUCCAGACGUUGCAGCAGAAGGAACCUUUUCCCAGGUAAACUCAUAAGGAGAAUCCUAACGCAGGCAUGAGAGGAAGGGUCUGCCAGGGCCCCCUCCCCGACCUGUGGCGGCUGCUGAGGUACCCUGGGGUCUUAGGGAAGAGGUGGCUUUGACCCUGGAGGACAGGGGCCCCGGGAGACCAGGGAGCCUCUUGGCCUGCAGCCACAUCCUUGCGGCUCUGGGCCUCCCAUGGACUCCUGCCGCCUGCUGGCCAGGCUUAGAGAGGACUCUUCCUGGCUGGCCAUAGUUUCCGGGUAAUUAAGAGCUUACCUUUGUUGUUGUUGUUGUUUUUAACUAGAGAGAGAGAGCAGGCAGAGGGGGGAGGAGAGAGAGAGAGAAUGAAUCUCCAUAAGUGUGGGGCCCAAUGCAGGUCUUUUUCUUUUUAAUUUUUUUGGUUUAUUUGUUUUUGAGACAGAGACAGAGCCUGAGCAGGGGAGGGGCAGAGAGAGAGAGAGGGAGACACGGAAUCCGAAGCAGGCUCCAGGCUCCGAGCUGCCAGCACAGAACCCGAUGCGGGGCUCGAACCCAUGGACCACGAGAUCAUGAC